RNAcentral lists this ribosomal RNA (492 nucleotides) under uncultured bacterium. RNAcentral's name for it is "partial 16S ribosomal RNA". It matches the Rfam family "Bacterial small subunit ribosomal RNA", at positions 29 to 507 of the family's 1533-position model. The record is from RNAcentral.
AGUGAACGCUGGCGGUAGGCCUAACACAUGCAAGUCGAACGGCAGCACAGUAAGAGCUUGCUCUUACGGGUGGCGAGUGGCGGACGGGUGAGGAAUACAUCGGAAUCUACUUUUUCGUGGGGGAUAACGUAGGGAAACUUACGCUAAUACCGCAUACGACCUACGGGUGAAAGCAGGGGAUCUUCGGACCUUGCGCGAUUGAAUGAGCCGAUGUCGGAUUAGCUAGUUGGCGGGGUAAAGGCCCACCAAGGCGACGAUCCGUAGCUGGUCUGAGAGGAUGAUCAGCCACACUGGAACUGAGACACGGUCCAGACUCCUACGGGAGGCAGCAGUGGGGAAUAUUGGACAGUGGGCGCAAGCCUGAUCCAGCCAUACCGCGUGGGUGAAGAAGGCCUUCGGGUUGUAAAGCCCUUUUGUUGGGAAAGAAAAGCAGCAGGUUAAUACCCCACUGUUCUGACGGUACCCAAAGAAUAAGCACCGGCUAACUUCGUG